GCGAUUCUCCUACCUCAGUCUCCCGAGUAGCUGGAAUUACAGCAGGUCACUGUGUUUCAGAGGAGGUGGAGAUGCAAACAAUUACAAAUUCAUGUGAUCUUUGCCUCAAUGGAGGCAUCAUUUAGAGGCAUUGCCCCCAAAACACUGUGCCUGAGAGAGAGCAUCCUGCAGUUCAUGUAAUGAAAAGACCUGGCAUGAGACAGUGGAGCAGGACAGCUAUGGACCCCAAACUCAAAGGAAGUACACAGUGGCAUAUGAGUUAAAUUAAUUCAGACAACUUGAGUAGAAACACAGUUUCCUAAGGAAAUAAAGAAUGCAAAAAGUUGAAUGUAGAAUAUUAUGCCAACUUUGUAAUGUAAUAUAUGAGAAAUGUUUAAUAUGUGUAAAAUAUCUAGUGUUUGACGGUUCUUAUUUCUUCCUCUAUUGAUGAUUACUGUCAUGUAUUCUCUUACAUGCAAUCAGUGUGUGGCUUUACCUGACACUAUUAGUCCCUGCUUUCCAUGAUCACCCCUACCCAGCAUCACCCAUGCCCUUGGCAGCAAUUUUAAUUUUGUUCAGUUCCUGGGUCUUAGCCAGGGCCAACAGCUUCCACCCAGCAUCAACCCACAAGUUGCCAGGGUUUGGAAUGGUUUUGUCAUGAUGGACCCUGUGUAUGGUUGUCCUGGGGUGAACCCUGAGCCCCUCUCUGUCACUGCAAACUCACAGUGAUGUCCCACCAGACAUUUGACUUACACUUCAGAUCCUUGGAGAUGGACCCAUCCCUGUAUUCUGGCCUCCUGGUUUUGGACCAUGACAUACUACCUAUUCCUUGUCAACUUUACCUGACUGGGUUGAAGGGUCUCCUCUUCUGCCUUUAUUCUCACACAGCUGGUAAGGUUUGACUAUGCAUGAAGCCAUUGAGCAGAAUCCUGGCUAUUGUAUGGGGCCCUGACCCCCUCUAGCUUGUUGUCUUUAUAUUUCUCAUGUUCUUUUAGUGUCAUACAAAUGAAUAAAUGUGAAUUCCCAAG
This is a long non-coding RNA of Homo sapiens (human), 1007 nucleotides long. RefSeq lists it as uncharacterized. The record is from RefSeq and is a predicted model, not a curated record. NCBI's taxonomy places the organism in Eukaryota, Metazoa, Chordata, Mammalia, Primates, Hominidae. The transcript is spliced from 2 exons.